AGCUUUGCGCAGUGGCAGUAUUGUAGUCAAUGAGGUUUAUCCAAGGCGCGAUUAUUGCUAAUAAAAUUAGAAGGCAAAAUAAAACUUAUAAUCAGUAACAAAAUUUAAACCAGAAGAUAUAAAGAAAAAACAAAAUUUUAAUGUAACUUUUGAAAAUGUAAUUAUAUC
This 168-nucleotide small nuclear RNA is filed under the name Canis lupus familiaris (dog). Its description in RNAcentral is "U4 spliceosomal RNA (multiple genes)". The stretch from base 1 to 72 matches the Rfam family "U4 spliceosomal RNA". The record is from RNAcentral. Lineage: Eukaryota; Metazoa; Chordata; Mammalia; Carnivora; Canidae.